Molecule: ribosomal RNA, 460 nt
Filed under: uncultured bacterium
Lineage: Bacteria
Description: partial 16S ribosomal RNA
Rfam family: Bacterial small subunit ribosomal RNA
Source: RNAcentral
CCUACGGGUGGCAGCAGUGAGGAAUAUUGGUCAAUGGCCGGAAGGCUGAACCAGCCAUGCCGCGUGAAGGUCAGUGCCCUAUGGGCGUUAAACUUCUUUUGUGCGGGAGCAAUAAUGGUCACGUGUGGCCAGACGAGAGUACCGUACGAAUAAGCAUCGGCUAACUCCGUGCCAGCAGCCGCGGUAAUACGGGGGAUGCAAGCGUUAUCCGGAUUUAUUGGGUUUAAAGGGUGCGUAGGGUGUGAGGUAAGUCAGCGGUGAAAUGCCCCCGGUCAACGGGGUGAAGUGCCAUUGAUACUGCCUUGCUGGAAUGCGGAUGCCGUGGGAGGAAUGUGUGGUGUAGCGGUGAAAUGCAUAGAUAUCACACAGAACACCGAUUGCGAAGGCAGCUCACGAAUCCGCGAUUGACGCUGAUGCACGAAAGCGUGGGUAUCAAACAGGAUUAGAUACCCCAGUAGUC